UCCCUCUUUCUGCUUGUUUUCAGCUAGCUGGUGAAAGAUUUUGUGUAUCGGUAUUUCUUUUGCAAGUGUUCGACGAAAACAGAGUUUGCUGUUUCAUUGGAUUGACAGAGCAUAGUUGCAACAUGCCACGGAAAAAGUACUGGAGAAAAACAAGAUUCCAUAAGGAGACAAAAGGGGAUGGAAACGUGUCAAAAAACAAUGACAGUGACGAGUCUGGGACUGUUGUUUUUACAGAGAUAAGUACAGUUUCUGGACAUUUUCAUCAAGGACAUCCACAAUUUAUGCCAAACAGUGGAGCACAAUGUGUGGCUAAUAGUUGCUCAGCUAUUCUGUAUGAUAAAGUAAAGCCAGUUUCUAUGUGGACUAGUAAUGAUCUUGAUGCUGUAUUGAUUUCUGGUGAUGAAUUGUACUCUAGUGUUAAACCUAAUCUUCCUGCUGGUGAGACCCAUUUGCUCAUUUCAGACAUUCCAGAUGUGAUGGACAUGCACAAUGGUACUUUCAGUAUAAGGGCAGGUGAAUCUUUGACAGGUUAUGUACUUGGUAUUGUUCAUGCAGAUCUGCAGUCUGAUAUUUUCAUGCCACUGAGAGAUGCUCUUGAUAGAACACUAUCUGUGUUUACUUCGUGCCUUAUAACCUUCAAUUCUUCUACAUUUGCUAUCAUUAAACGAGACCAGUACUUAUAUGUCAUUGAUUCUCAUUCCAGGAAUGUAGAAGGUGUACAAGUUGUUGAUGGGACUGCUGUAAGCAUCAGAUACACAGGUAUAGAAGCGGUGUUUCAACACUGUACUCGUCUGGCUAUUUCACUUAACACUGGAGCUUAGGUCAUGGAAAUCUCAGUAAUUGUUGGCACUGGAGCUUGUGGGAGAAAAAAACUUUUGAUAUCUGCAACUGCAACUUCCUGUGAAGUGAAUCCCAGAAAUUCAGUGCUUAUCGAUGCAGCUCAAAUUGUAUCCCAGUUGUCUUCUAGUUAAUGCACUUCAGUGAUCAAUUUCUGAGGGUCUUGGUGGCAAGGUGGACGAUUAUGGCAGAAACAUGCUAUUGGACAUCAUUUGUUGGACACCUCCUGCAGUCCACCGCAGUAUAAUACAAGUGCUCUCCUCCUCUCACCAUUACCACUCUGCGUUUAUCUUCGGAUAGACACUGGCGGCUCAGGACCUUAUGGAAUGGACCAGUAUAUCCCGCAAAAAUGGAACAAAAUGGCAGCAAAGAACUCAAAAGUCGUAUAUGCCAUCUUAAGUCAGUAUCACUGUGGGUGAUGGAGAGUAACACUUCCAUCUAAACAAAUGUUACCUCUAGAACACUAAUACUGCGAAGAACUUGCGCAUGUGGUUUCUUUUUAUGACAACUUGACAAAUCUAUCUUAUAUGGUUAGAUCUGCUGAGAAGGAUGGUAAAAUGUUAGGUGUGCUGGGAAGCAUAAUUCGUGUGGCAAAUCAAGAAAAUCGCCAGAUCACAGAAGCUAUCGGCUGGCUGGAAAGUUGAAGAUACAACAUCUAGAUUGAAUUAAAUGAUGACCUAUAACAGCUACAGAAAACUUUCGCUAUUUCUAAUUCAGGUAUUAACCAUUCCGGAUGUGAGCCACGUGUAACAAGCCCUUUAUGAUAGUAACAUUUAUUGGUGGUAACACCUGAAUGAACUGUCUUGUAGAUACUUCACUAACUGUACCGUAACACCAUCAUGUAUGCGAAACUGAAACUGUAAUUCAAAAUUGAGGUAAUAUAUAUAUUCGCCUUACAUACCACAAAUCUCUGUGAGUUCAACUCCAGCUUAUGCUAUCUUCUUCUCUGUUUGUAAGUGGAAAGCUCUGGCUAUAAGUGGAAAGGUCCGACAGCAACCUGCAGAAGGUCGUGGGUUUCCCUAGAGCCCGGUUUCCUCCCACCAUAAUGCUGGCUGCCGUCGUAUAAGUGAAAUAUUCUUUAGCACGGCGUAAACACCAAUCGAAUAAGUAAAUAAAGACAUACCCCAAAGUAUGGACAUCUCUGAUUUUUGUAAGUACAAUUACAGUGGAUUUUUUUAGUCGCUCUGGCGGGCAACCAAGGCGUUCAACUCUGGUUCACCCCUCUCACCAUGGUUGCCACCCACUUUUUGUGACAUUUUGGUAUAUGAUCAUUUAACGUACAGUACAAUAAAAUGCAAUGACAUAAAAAAUAUCUGAUAAAAGUGAUUUUGUGAUUGGUGCUGAAAUGGUUAAAUACGUUUUGAUCCAUCAGUUAUGUUGCCUUUGAAUACCCUUUUGAAAAGUAUGAAACUAAAUUUUUAGGCAGCCAUAUUCAUUUUCAUUGAUGUACGGAUUGGGUGACAGCCAAAUUACAUUUUUGUGAACAGAAUUUUUCGGACAUGUAUUUUUUGACCAAAUUCAAAGCACGGUCGAUUCAUGAAUGAAAUGUACACUUUAUCCGAAUAUAGCCGACAUAUUUCCUGGAUGAUACAGAAGACGGCUUAUAUCGUAUAUGUAGUAGCAGAUUAGUCAAGUAUGUUUUGUACGGUAUAUUCGACCGUGAAUGUAAUAUUUGAUGUUAUAUUUUGUUGUUGUGUGAGACGACACUGUAGGAUGAAUUAAGUUUUGUAACAGAAGAUAUAAACCAAGAGAAAGGUCGUUAUUGAGCGAUUAUACAGUACGAAGCAUUUUAAUUUUUAUCAUGUACUGUGAAGAGUUCUUUUCCGUCGAGCCUCAGUAAGCGUCAUUUUCAUUUAGCUUGUUUAUGUACGAUUGGUAUAACUGUGUUAUGGCAAAGUAAAUCCAAAGGGCAGAACUCUUAAUCAGUGAUUGUUUCUCCCAAGGAAAGUUCGACCAUGGAAAGACUGCACUUUUGAGGACAUGCAUGCAAUCCUGGCUUUCCCGCCGAGCGAGUCACGCGGGCGCUCAAAUGCGACUUCACCCUUACGGGGUCGUCUCACAUUUUCGAAUGGUCAUUUAUCUAUUUCAAUUCUGUCGAUUUUCUAACCGUUCACGGGUCCCCCA
Molecule: long non-coding RNA, 2961 nt
Organism: Liolophura sinensis
Lineage: Eukaryota; Metazoa; Mollusca; Polyplacophora; Chitonida; Chitonidae
Exons: 6
Source: RefSeq, a predicted model, not a curated record